AGCUCGGAGAACAUGCGGCCGGGCAAAAAUGAUUACAGCUGCAGGAACGAGUCCACACAUCUAGACCUAGCUUUGUUUGAGCUGGUCUGCAUUGCAAAAAGGGAACUAAAAUGUGUGACGUUUCCUCAGCCCAGGUCUUACUGGUGAAGUAGGUUCCCUCCAUCACUGACGCUGAUUUUCUGCAGACUGCAUCCAAACCCU
Fundulus heteroclitus (mummichog) is the source of this 201-nucleotide long non-coding RNA. RefSeq lists it as uncharacterized. The record is from RefSeq and is a predicted model, not a curated record. The transcript has 3 exons. NCBI's taxonomy places the organism in Eukaryota, Metazoa, Chordata, Actinopteri, Cyprinodontiformes, Fundulidae.